RNAcentral lists this transfer RNA (67 nucleotides) under Marmota monax (woodchuck). Its description in RNAcentral is "tRNA.Ala". Lineage: Eukaryota; Metazoa; Chordata; Mammalia; Rodentia; Sciuridae. The record is from RNAcentral.
GGCUGUGGCUCAGUAGUAGAGCGCUUGCCUAGCACGUGCGAGGCACUGGGUUCAAUCCUCAGAACCA